GUCUACGGCCAUGCCACCCUGAACAUACCUGAUCUCGUCUGAUCUCUGAAGCUAAGCAAGGUCGGGCCUGGUUUUAGUACUUGGAUGGGAGACCACCUAGGAAUACCGGGUGCUGUAGGCU
Molecule: ribosomal RNA, 121 nt
Organism: Pteropus vampyrus (large flying fox)
Lineage: Eukaryota; Metazoa; Chordata; Mammalia; Chiroptera; Pteropodidae
Source: Ensembl